RNAcentral lists this long non-coding RNA (20875 nucleotides) under Durio zibethinus. RNAcentral's name for it is "long non-coding RNA (DZIB_LNC002413)". Lineage: Eukaryota; Viridiplantae; Streptophyta; Magnoliopsida; Malvales; Malvaceae. The record is from RNAcentral.
AACCUGGAAAAUUGCGUAUUCUUGCACAAGUCCUUGACUGAUUUUCUAGUCACUUUCCCAAAAGAAGUGUAAAAAGACUUACUCAAACCUCAAAACUACCAUUCUUACAUUAGCAGGUCAGCUCAUUGCAAAACAGGAGGCAUCCACUGCAACACAAACUGUAAGAGCUCAAAGAGGUAGCCACUCAGUUUACUAGGGUUGGACAAAUUUGUCUAAUGCAGAAGUGUCCAAAGCUUGAAAUUCCUUCACAGCAGCUGCCACUUCGAGUCCAAGUUUCACAGCAUCUUCAUGGCUUGGUGCCUGCAAUGUGUUUAUUAUCAUCCAGCUUAGAAAUUACAGUGUUUAUAACAUCUUAUGCUAAAGUUGAUACUGCUUUCAUACCUCGAUGUUAAGAGGAAGGACAGGAUCAUGAAGUGAAAGCCUAAGAAGGAACCACCCUCCAUAGCCAGAAACUCGAACCUGUUUUCAGAAGGAAGUUAGCGAAACCCGUUUGGUAAAAUGGUGAAAUUUAUAACUGUCCAAUUUUUGUGGCCACAUUUGUCAUUCAGUUUGAGUGAUUAUUUCAACAAAGAAGCCUAGAUAAUUCGAUGUCUGAAGCCUAUAUCAAACUUACCCCUUCAUAGUUAACUGGUGCUUUGGGAUCUGAAGCAAUAUGGUUAACCAAGUGCUCAGACCAACUUCCCCAUAAUCCCGGAAAGAUCUGCAAGUUUCGAACUCUCAGCAACUUUAACAGAAAUCAGGCAGACAGAAAGAUUGGAGCCAUAUAAAACACCAUACCCUCCUUUAAGAUCAGGAUGACACUGAUUAAUCUUUAGUCGCAGUUCCACGGCAAAAGCUGGUUCCUCCAGACCGUCAACUAGAUCUGUUAAAACUUUGCUUCCAUCACCUCUGCCAGAGGCCCUUGCUGAAGCCAGUUUAUUUAGGAGUUUGACCUGCACUCAGCAGGUCAAAUAAAACGGCAUAGAUGGAUUAGUCCAUGUGCAUUUAAGUUCAUACUUUGGUUGAAAUAUACAGUCCAAAUAAUAUGCAAGAAGAGGCUUGUCCACCCAGAUUAAAAGCUUACCAUCAAGUAUGCCCCAUCAUCGAGCCAGUGAUUCUCCUUGAGAGCUCCAUGGCCACUGGUUUCUAUAGCCAGAUGUGAUUCUUCUCCAACAGAGUUCUGUGGGAAGUUCUUUUACUUUAGUUUCAAAAUUUUUCAACACAUAACAAAGAACUGAAAGUUAAACAAGAUGAUCAGCUGUGGUAUAAUAGGCGACAAGGAUCUCCAAUACCAAACAAUGACAGCAGGAUAUGUCACAUUAUGUUCAGGCAUUCUGUUGCUGAGUAGAAAUUAUAACAUACUUAAGAACGAACAUAGCAAGCGAUGAAAAUGGGGAUCAAGAAUUUUGCCAAUGACUAAUGGUAGAAAAAGAUCAACUAAUUUUGUAUGAAGCAUGCAGAUGAGAUUUGUUCAUCCCUGUAUAAACCAAUAUCAAUCUUUAAAGUUUUAAGUUCCUUUAAAUGCCAAUGGAUCAUAUAACUAAUACUCAGAAUAGUGUUUGGCAAAAACUACUGGUUCAUAUGAAGUUGUUAAUAUCCCAUUAAGUCAUUCAGAUCCAAGCUCUUUUUUAUUCAUCUUCUAGCACCCCACAUAACUGAUAGAAAUAUAAUAAAACCAAGAUAAAAGAAAAUGAAAUUUACCAAACGAAUUGCCUCAUCAAUGACAUUCUUAUAGCCUCCUUUGAAUCUAUGGUGCUUUCCCCCUAAAAGAAAUUGCAAGUUAUAAGUUUGCUCUAGAAGAAACAAAGCAAAUACUUAAGUGUCAGUUAAGUUUUUAUCAUACCAAGUUUCUUUUCAAUGAAUGAAGUAAGCCCAUCUGAAGCCACACUAUCUGUAACAAUGGUUGUUCCUGGAUGCUGAAGAGAAGAAGAUGAGGAGAUUAAAUGAGAGGAAAACUGAAUAAUAAAAAAAAAAAUUAAUUGCUUAAUUGAUAUAAAAAAUAAAUUUGUUAUAAAAAAAUGUUUACAUAAAAUCCAAAUGUAGUAAGUAUUUAUAAAUAUGAGGAAAAAUAAGACAAAUAGAUUUUUUAUCGUUUUAUUCUUUGGAAUUUCAUUAUGUAUUGUAUGGUUUAUAAAUUUAAUAUAAAUUUCAUCUGACAAUGAUAAUUUGAUUUUUAAGAUUAGAAAAAAUAGAUGUAUGAAUUAUUUAAAAAUAAUAAUUAUUUUUUCAAAAAAUAUUUAAAAAAAUUUUAGCAUAAAUAAAAUAAAUAGAUGUGUGCAUUAUUGACCUAUGGAUUAUUUUAAAAAAAUUCAAAAAAUCACAAACAAAAACAAUUAUUUUUUUCGUAUGAAAACAGAAUAUUAAAAAAAAAAAAAAACUAAUGCUGUAAUUUACUCUGCUUCCAUAACUAAUUAACAGGGCUAACAAUUUUAAAUAAAACAUAGUUAUAAAAUAUUAAAAUAUUAUAGAAAAAAAUUAAAAUGAUAUGUUUUAAAAUUUAAAUAAAAAUUAUACAUAAAUUUAAUAAAAAAUAUAUAUAAUUUAUAUUUAAUAUGUUGACUCGAAUCAUAUUUUACACUUGUUAUACAUUAAAUAAAUAAAUACAAAUAUACAAAUAAUUAGCUUUUAAAUGUUUGUUCUCGUUUGAAUAUUUUCUUCUAGGAUAGGCUAAACUAAUCUUUGGUCAAAAAUUAAAACUUGCCAGGUUGUAUGGAUGAGGAUUGCCUGAGAAAUAAAGUAAAGGAAAUGGUUAAUUAAUUAACAGGCAAACAAAUUUUGGGAAACCAUUGAUUCAAUCUAGCUUAGCUUGAUAAUUUGUGUUAUCAUAUAUUGUAAAAUAUUAUAUUCGUAUCAUAUUUUAUAAAAAAAAUUAUAUAUCAUAAUUCGUAUUAAUAUAAAAAUAUAAAAUAUAAUUUUUUAAAUUUUAUUAAAUUUAUUUAUAUUUUUUUAAAUUUUAAAUCGUUUUAUAUUCGUAUUUUUUAUUCGCAUUAUUUUCGUAUUAUAUGUUUCAAAUUAUUAAAUCUAAAUCCAGCAUCGAAAAGUUGGCACCUAAUCUUUAACAAAAAAGGAAAGGUAUUGGUAGCUUAAUCUUGACUUAAUUACGAAGACCAAAGCUUAAAUUUAAUUAUUCUCCUUGUCUCCUUUUUGUUUUUAAAUUUUUAGAUGUUUCAAAAUUUUUUUUUAUUUUUUUAAUAUUUAAAAUUAUUUUACUUUUUAAUAUUAAAAAUUAUGAAAAUUUAAUUUUAUAAAAAAUUUAAUUUUAAUAUUAAAUUAUUGAAAUCAAUUUUUUUUUAAUUCUGAAAAUCAAUAUAAAACAAAUAAAUAGAAACGAAUAAAGUAUUUAUAAGCUUUCAAGUAUUAUAAAAUGAAAUGUCUCUUUCUACUUUCUACAAUCAAAAUAUUUUUAAAAUCUGUUUGGAUUCAAACACAUAUUGAUAUGGAAUGUGAUUUGAGCACUUUUUGCUAAAUUUACAAAAACAAAUUAACAAUACCUUUUGAAAACAAUUGAUUACCUGAUCUUUAACAAAAAAGGAAAGGUUGGUAGCUUAAUCCGUGACCUAAUCAUGAAGACCAAAGCUUAAAUUUAUUUAUUUAUAAGCCUUUUAAUGUUAUAAAAUGCAAUGUCUCUUUCUACUCUCUACAUUAAAAAUAUUUUAAAACUAUGUUUGGAUUCAAGCAUGUCUUGGAGUGUGAUUUGAUCACUUCGUGCUAAAUUUUCAAGAAUAAAUUAAUAAUAAAUUAAGUUUGAGACACAAUCAAUUUAUACUGAUAUAAAAUAUUUGUUAAUAAUUAAUUUUAAUAGAUCCAAAAAAUGAAAAAUAAUUUAAUCUCAUCCUUAGAUUUGUUGAAAUUAAUCAUUAAAAAUAUAUAAAAUGUAAAUUUGCAUCUGCCAUUGUUUUAUUCUUGUAUGUGCAACAAUAAAUUUAUGAGAUUAAACUAAAAUUACAAGUAGAUAUAUUUUUUUGUUAAAUUUAAAGUUUAAUUUAAAUUAUUCAUUCAUGAAUUAAUUUUCAAAAAGAUAAAAAUUUGAUCCCUAACAUGUGCAAAUAUUUUUCCCUUAAUUUCUCUUAGGCUUUAGUUCCUAUGUAAAAUAUAUAUAUUUCUUUAUUGACAUAUAUAUAUAUAUAUAUAAAUUGUUAAUCAAAUAAUAAUAUUUUAAAAAAAUGAGCUUAUUAUUUUAUAUAUGUUGAAUUAUUGAUUCUUCCAGAGCAAGAAAUUGAUUUUUUAAAGAUGUUCAAUCUGAAAGAAUCAAAGAUUCUUAAAAGUGUUAUUAAACAGUUUAGACCAUACCACCCACAAAACCAUUCUUGGUUUUCUUCGUGGGAAAGGACUACUCCCAAAGGAAACGUGGCUCAAAUGAUUCCUGCCUUUUUAAACUACUAGUACAAUUAAUGUGACGUGAAUGACGUGACAUUCAACUUGAAAAUGACUACAAAGAAAUUUUUUGGCUUUAGUAUAAAAAAUAUUUGAAUUAAAAUUAAAUAAUUAUUUAAAAUUUUGUAGUUUUUACAUAUCUAUUUUUUUAAUCUUUUAUUGGACGAAAAUUGAUAAAUUAUUAUUAUCAAUUUUCAGCUAUUAAGAAUUUAAUUGUGUAAAAAUAAAUAUUAAAAAUUUAAUUGAAUAAAAAUAAAUAUAUAAAAAUUCAAUUAAUUGUAAUAAGAGGAUAGAUAAUUGGAUAAUUAUUUAAUUUUAUUUCAAGAGACUUUUUUAUAUUUAAGUAAAACUUUUUUAUUAACCAUUUACUGGUUAUGCUGCAAGAUGAAAAUGUUUGAAAAUUUUCAGUUUGAACAAGUGCAUCCUCAACAAAUUUACCAUAGCUUUGUCUUAGUUUCUGCCACUUUAAUGUUAUCAAUAAAUGAUUUAUGUGCUCUAUGUCCUAGGAAACUGUUAAUAAUUCCAAAAUGCAGUUGUGGUUGUCAGUAUUUGCUGGUUAAGAAGUUUACGUAAGCUCAUAGCUUCUGCAAUGGUUCCAAAAUGCAGUUGUGCACUGCAUUUUUGUUACUUUUAACUAGUUUUGUUUUUCAAAUUUGAAAAUAUGGUGGUUGAGCAAAGUGUUAGUUGUGGUUCCAAAAUUUUGAAAAGAACAUCUAUUAUAAUAUAUAUAUAUAUAUGUAACGAUAAAUUUAUUAAUUUUACUGAUUAAAAAAUAUUUUUAAAAGAUUAAAAAUGUUCAAAAAAAAGUUUCUCUAACCUUCCUUUCAAUUUUUUUCUUUUUAAAGAAGAAAUUCAAUGGUAGAUAAAUUGUUCAAUCUUUUAGAUCAGGGUAAGAUGUAUCAUAUCUGAUAACUUAAAACAGGUGGUUGCAAGUCGUGCAUUCGAGAUGACCUCAAUAAGUGAUCAUCGAUAGAAUUCGAACUCAAAAUUUUUUUUUAUCAAGAAGGAUAAACUUAAUUGAUUGAAUCAAUAAUUUGUUGAUUUUUUCAAUCUUUUUACUGUCUAUAAAGUGAUUCCAUGUGCUCUAAUUCAAUACUAUACAAAAGUAUUACCAAAGUGUUAAAAAAAAAAAAAAUUUAUGUUGACGUAGAUAUGCUUUUAACCUAUAUCAACCUUAAUUAAAUAAAAUCUCUACCAUCUUGAUUAGAAAUUCAAAAAUAAAACUUUUAUACAUUUUAAAAUUCAUGAGUCAAAAAGAGAAUUUUUGACAUCUUUAUGCUCAUUGUGUCUAACACUGAAUAAACUAAGUUUUCACUCUAGCAAUAUCUCAAAUCAAUGAUAGGUUAAAUUUUGGUCCUACUCUUACCUAAAUGGCACUCGAACCAAAUCAUUUGUCAUGCUAUUAUUCUCUUGUUUUGUUCAUCCUAUUCUUACCUAAAUGGCACCCGAACCGAAUCAUUUGUCGGACUAUUAUUCUCAUGUUUUGUUCCUUCCACGUAAUGGAGUAAGAGAUCAAUUUCUCUUUUUUUUUUUUUUUUUUUUUUUUUUCAAUCUUCGCCUUACCUUGAUUGCUCAACUUUUUUUAAAGCUAACUAUGUAGGUGUAAUGAGAAACACAGCUAACUUAGAACCCUAUCUAGAGAGUUUCUUCUUGUCUUUAUUUUUUCCAAGUCAUAUUAAUUAAUGUCAAUAUAGGUGUCAUAGUCGAAUGAAGUCAAAAAAGCCUGCUCAAAGACAUUGGCCAAAAAUAAAAUGUCCUUAUGUCACGAGACUUAAUUUUCAUGUUCAUACGAUUUUCGCACUUAGACAUGAACUCAUUUUAUAUUUUAGAUCAAUUUAAUUAUUAUAAUUUAUAGUUUUUAUGAGAUAUUAUUUAUUUUAUUUCAUAAUUUUAUUUCAUAAAAAUACUUUUAAAGAAACAAUAAUAUAAAUUUUUAUAUUUUAUAAUCAAUUUUAAUAUACAAUCAAUACAAAAUUCUUGACAUUACUGUAUACUUACUCAGCCUUCCUUAAUAAAAAUGAAGAAUAAUUUGUUUCGCAAGCCUAGAUGUGGUCAAGAAUUUUAGCUGAUUAUGGUUCAGAUCUUGUGAUCCCUGUGUGCUAGUUCAGAAUAACUGUUCUGAGGCUUUAUAAUUGGCUUUCAGGCAGCAGGCAAUUUUCAUCCCCUACGGCCCUACCCCACCCUCAUCCCGGCUUUCAGGCAGCAGACAAUUUUCAUCCCCCUACCCCACCUUCGUCCCUUCCUUUUGUUCUGACUUUCCUUUUUCAGCACCUGAGCCAGCUAUGUAAAGGCAAAUUGCGUUCAUUCAAGACUUUAUAAACUGAACAGUAAAUGAUAAUAGAAUAGAUAUUUAUUAUUUUUUAAAUAUUUAUAUUUGAAUUUAUUUAAUAUUUAUAAUAUUCAAAUUCAUUUAAAUUUAAUAUUAUUAUAUAAAUCUAAACCUAUUUAAAUAAGUACUAUCUUUUUAAAUAUCUAAAUCUAUUAAAAUAUUUAUUUUUUUAAAAUUUUUAUCAACAUAUAAAAUAAAUAAGAAUUUAAAUUAAAUUUUAAAGUUAUUUUUAAUUAAUAAUAAAUAAAAAUUAUUUUUUAAAGUUCAAAACUUUUUAUAUAUAUAUAAAAUUUUAUAUAUUUUAUAUAUGUAAACCGAUAACGUAUUCAAAUAUUGAUAUUCAUUAUUAUUCGUUAAAUUUAAACGAAUUUGAAUAUUAAAUAUCUAAUAAAUACUAUUUAUAUCUGCUUUUAAUCUAUCACGGAUAAUAAAUAUUUUAUCCGAAUCCGUUAAUUAUCUUUUUAUAAUUAUUUGAAUCCAAUAAAAAUGAAUUAAAUAAUAACGAAUAUUCAUUUACGUAUCAUUCUUAGAGUGAACAAGAUAUUACCAGAUCCUGGAUAUGUUGCAAAGUUUCUACAUAAGUUAAGAGAAAUAAAGUAAUCAACUCGGUUAAACCUCGUUUUCUUUCAAUUUUAUUUAUAAUAUAGUGAAGAUAAUAGGGAAAUACUCCUGGCAAAUGAUUGUGGGAAGGCUGACAGAGGUACAGUGAGAUCAUACGGAAAAUCAGAAAUGGCUUGAAACUGUGUGAUGAAAAAAAUAAUGAUUAUCAAUAGAGAAGAAUGGCGGAGGAUGGUAUUUGUUGUCAAUGCCCAAUUGUUAACUCGAGGCUUUUUGAGUAACUUUAUUCUUCAUCACAUGGAAGUUCUGCCAGAUAACUUGAAAAUGACUAUUGAUAAUAAAUAUAGGCUUGGCUCAAUAUCAUAUUGCGAUAGAGCAUAUCAUUUAUAAAAUAUUAUUUAUAAUAAUUAUGAUAAAAUUAAUCAAUCAUAAUUUAAAAUUAAGUAAAAAUCAUAUCCAUGAAGUAAAAUUGUAUAGGGAACAUGUGUAUAGUUAUUGGUUUCCAAAUUAGUGUAGGAAAUAAAUGACAAAAGUUUCAAAAUUGAGCCCCCAACUUUGUCCUUCACUGUUUAGCUGUGGCAGAUCUUUUUGGGGAGUGCAUAUCUUUCUCGCUGAUCAGUACAAUAAUUCACUUCAACAAAUCACAAUGUUAGCAAUAGAAUUAGUUAGUUCACUUCAGGUUCCGGCUGCUGGUUGUACAGGAUUCGAAUUAUCAACUUUCUGAAUAAAUCUGAGUCACAUUCAAUUUCGGUUUUAACUCAAUUGCUGGUUGUAGAUCCAAGCCGGUGCCAUGCAAUUUCCUGCAACCAGAUAAUAGCCGGCUAAAUGUCAAUAUUAUUGCUUUCUAAAAGAUACAAGGUCUUAGACAUCGUCUUCAUCACCUGGCAAAGACAGAUGAACUAGAUAUGCAGGAAAGCCAAGAGAAAAAAGUACAAAUCAAGUACUACUUGAAAAACCUAUUCUGCAGCAGGUCAUUUUACUUGAUAGUAGAUACUUUGUCUAUACUUUGGAUCUAAGUUUCUGAUCAUUGUACCCAUGAGAUCAAGGUACAAUCUACCAUUGCUUAACAUGCAAGAAGUAGAUACUAUUACAUCAUAACAAAUUUAACUUUGGGCCUUUUAAUUCUGAAAGCAAAAAGUUCGAGGGAAAAAAUUUUGGUUAUAGCUUUACAUUUUACUUCCUAAAAGUGGGAAGCAAAGUUAGUGCCACAGACCAUCUAAUCAUGGUAGGAUCCACCAUGUUAUAAGAGCACUUCCCUAACCAUUUCCAUCAUAGAAAUAGCAUCCCCUUUGGUUUUUUUGCAAAAGCCAAAAGGUUUCAACUGGCUACUACUAAAAGAAGAUCUAUCAAGCUGCCAACAACCCUUUGGCUCAGCGGCAUGAGGUUUUGGCAUUUGGGAGGGUUGCCUGAGUUCAUGGCUAUAACUAUAAUUUCUUUUACACCACUUGGAAAGUUAUCAACAGCCAUUAUAGAAGAAUGCAUUAAAUAAAUCGAUUAAGCAAUUCGCAGCAAAAUUCAUAUUUAAAGCAAACAUUGCAGUUUAUAAAAAUAUAAAAGCACCCAAACACACACACAAAACAAGAGCAGUAUGCAAUUCUUGACAACUUUGGAUGAAAGCGUCUCUUUUAGCUUCUUCAUUUCCAUUACAGAGAAAGACCAAGUAACGACAGGCAUAGCUAAUAUCUGAAGUCCAUUGCAGACUGAAUGUGCCAAUAAGAUGGUUUUAUUCUAUAGUUGACUGGUACUAAGCACUAAAAAUAGCCCAAAUGUGAAGUUGCUUUCAGAAUCAAGCAUACUAAAAACAAGCUAAUUAGAUAUAUGCUCCGAAGUUGAGGAAAACUGCAACUACAUAUAGAAGGCUGCUUAAAAUUGGGUUCCUACGGGGCCAUUGAUGUUAUGUAAUCUUCCAAAAUAUUAUGAACAAAUAAAUUGAACUUAUCAAUGAAAGAAACACAUACACUGAUCUCCUUUUUUGUAAGUGGGGCAAACACAGUAUCAUCCUUUACACCAGCAAUUUUAUAGAGCCGCACCCUCUGCUGCCCAAAUAUUACUUCAAUGUCUUCAUCUUUGUUUAGGAGCCUGAAACAUCGAAGCCAGUUUCUUCUAAGACCUGUAUUUUCAUAGAAAGUACAUAAUCAUAGAUAAGAAAAGAAAAGAGAGGGAAGAGGGGGAUAAAGAACUGAAAGUGUAAUCAGUAAUCAUUUGGAUUCCAUUAUCAGAAACUGAGCACGUCAUUUUAGGAACCAUAAACUCUAUUAUUUCUGCAAAUUAGAAGGGAAACAUGCAGUGAAUAAAUUACAAAUAAUAAUCUAUGUAUACAAUGGCUCCAUGCCACUGAUGAUGUUUAAUGACCGGUUUAAUAGAGACAUUGGCAACCCUACUCUAGCUUUUGCUUUUGAGUGGUGAAUGAACAGACAUGGAAAGCUAGUUAAUAAACCCAUGUAGAUUGUACAUUUCUUCCUCGUUCAUGUCACUUACAACAAGAAAGCAAGAUCAUUCUGAAGUAAUCUAUGACUCUGUAGCCAUCUGAAGAGCACAACACUGCAUAGAUUCAUCUUGUAUGCAAAAGGUUAAACUACCUUUAAAGGAAAUUCAUCUCCAAUCGGAUUCCUUAAGAAUCAGUUUCCAGUCCUUCACACAAAAUUGGUCAACAAUAAUAAAGCCUAAUUACCACUAAAUCAUCAGACAUGCUCAUUUAAGUAUAGACAAAAAUUGAGGAAGAGCCCUAAAAUACAGAUAAGUUGAAUGUGCACAAAAACUUCUCUAAUGGCACAUGCAUGGUCUUCCUCAUCUUUGUUCUUUUCCCACGUGGGAAGUUCCAGUUCAUCCCUUUCCAUCCCUUCACUAGGAUGCACUAUUAAUUAAAUCAACAAACAGAAAGUAAAGACACUCGUAGACUGGAAGCUUAGUGAAUUCACUUCAACAUAUAUGAUAAUCCUGGAAAAUGUUAUACAAUUUGAAUUUGACAUCCUGAACUGCAAGGAACAGCAUUCAUUGAAGUUCCAUCAAUUGGAAAACGACAUGAAUGAAAAGACCCAAGAAGUAAAGAUAAACUAACACAAUCUCUGACAAAGAUAUCAAGAGAUUGGAGUUAUGGAGAUAGAGAGUGAAGUGGGAUUAAAAAAGUAAAUAGGUGCAAAUUUUACGGUCUUAAACGUUAAUACAUGGAUGCAAAAAGGGCAUUGGAAACAACAGAGGGACAAAAAGUGAUGAUAUUCACUAAAAAAUUAGAAGGACAAAAGACUCUUCUUGUUUUUAACUAGCACAAGAGACUAGCCCGUUCAUACGUUUUAUCCAAAAUAAUUGCCCGUUACAGAACUCGAACCUUGUAAUCAGUGAAAUCCUUAAAUAUAUCAUCUAUAUUUGCAACAUUAGGCCUUAAAACAUUGCAUCUGUUAAAUACUGGCAGAAGUUUCAAAUAUGCCAAGCCACAUGCCAAUGCGCAAGUUUCAAAUAUCAACCAAGACUGAAGAAAAACGUGGGAUUUGCUCAACAUUGCAUCAAAUAUAGGAUACACAGAGGUGAACUCCUUCAGAUUGAAUGACUUCAGAAAUGGAAUUUUUUCCAGUGUUGUCCUUAUUGAAUCAAUGUGCAAACCGGUUUUGGACCUUAAUGAACCCCGUUUGUUGAAUAACGGGUUGAAGAGUUAAAUUCAUUUCUUGGACUGGUCCAUGUCAAGUGCCAACAUUUUUAACCCAAAAAAUAUGCUUAUUAGGUGGAUAAAGGCCCUAACUUAUAAGUCCAAGACUUAUCUCAUCUUUUUCCUAUACGAGAUCCUCCCUCACUCAAUUAGGAUUGGCAAUCUAACGGAUUUCAAUUUCAUCUAAUUUUAUAGGAUCGAAUUUUUUUUAAUCAAAUUUGAUCAGAUCAGAUCAAAUAUUUUUAAAGAAAAAUAGUGGUUGAAUUCUAUGCAAACCCAUUUCUAUUCAACCCGGUAUAUAUAUAUAUAUAUAUAUAUAUAUAUAUAUAUAUAUAUUUAUAUUUAAAAAAUUAAUAUUCUACAAGUUUAAAUAUAUACAAGUCUGAGUAAAAAUUUAUUGUGACUGAACCCAUUGCUAUCCAUGUACUCGAUCAUGUAAUGUCCAAGUUUUAUUAACUUUUGAGAUUUAUUUUGAUUCAGACCUAACUCAGUCCUGAUAUCUCCUAAGAUCUACAAAAAAAAAUUGGAUAAUCCAUGUGAAAAUAUAUAAUCAAGUCAGAGGUUCAACCCGGAGCUGGGAGUUUGCCAUGGCAUUGCCUUGAACCCAGAUUUGAACAAUCCCUCCAAUGUUUCCACUGCAUUAAGGUGCCAAAGGUAUCCAAUAUCGUAUCCAACUAAUGCUUUAUCUGAUACUUGGCAAAGCACUUUUUAGCAGCGGAACUAAAAGGGAAAGAAAUUUACCAAUGCUGAUAAAUACUACAAUUAAGAUUUUAAUGAACAGAAUCCAAAUCCUAACAAUCUUAAUUACAAAAAAUAAUAAUAAUAAAGGUCAUACAUCUCACUUUAAAAAAAAAUUCAUAUAAUUUCAAAACCAAAUCUGAACCUCCAAAAUAAUUCAAGAUGUUUAUUUUUGAAUGGCUGGUAAUAUAGUUUUAGCAUACUCCAGGAUCUGUAUGAUAUCAGUUUCUCCAAACUUUUUAACUUGAGUCAAGAACUUCAAAUCCACCUGGUUAGAAGUAGCAUCAACUGUUCACAGGAUAAGAGUUCAACAAUUAAAAACCAUCUUUAGAAAAAAAUACCAAGGUAAACAAAAUGAAAAACCUCACUUCACACAAUAGUUCAUUCAAGCAAAUGUAGUCACAUAAACCCAAACAUAACAGAAGAACAUAUUUGUAAACUACCUGUUAUUGUAAUGCUCCCAUCAACUGGAUGUAAAGAUGACAUAUUUUCACUAGACAUUGACGCAGACCUGUUAAAAAAAAAGGAAAAUGAUAUUAAUUUUUUUAUAUAAUAUGAUCAGUGUAUCAUCAUAUUUUACCUAUGCCUAACUUUCUUUCCAGACGAUUUUAAAGAAGCACGUCAAUUACCUUUACCUAGUUACAUGUAUAUAUAUUAAUAACUCAGACUUCACCGAGUGGUUGUUAUUGAGAUCCAAGGUUUGAAUUUCCGCUCUUCCUAUACAUCCCAAUAUGUACCAAGAGUUAUAUGUAUUAACAUUUGUUCACAAUGGCAAUAUGAUUUUGUAUGUUUUUUCAGAAAGAAAACGAGUGUUUGGCUGGAAAUUGACUUCCCAAGGCCAAAAAGUACAACUCAGACAAAGCUUUAAGAAUUCAGAUGUGUUGCUGAUAAACAUUUUAAACCAACAGCACAAGUCUCGAGCAAGAAAUCAAGCUCUUGAAACGUCCAAUCCCAAGAUUUGGUUGGGACUGCAUACUAGGUAGAGACUUUGCUUGGACCCAUUACCAUUGAAUGACAGAUCAUUAACAUAAAAAAAAUGGAAAAAUCAUGCUCACCUAUAUUGAACAGCCAGUCCCAUGCGAGCAAUACCUCUAGACACAGCCUGUAAAGUCAAUAAUCAAACAAAUUUAUGUGACAAUUGCAUUCAUGAUGUUACAGUAAGCAUUUUUUUUUUUGGCCAAUAAAAAAUGGUAAAUCAGUGGGGUGUCAUUAUAGCACCGUUUAGGACCAGCACCGGAGGUCAGCCGUGGGUGUCCUGAUUUAACCCAACCCAUAGGAAGGGACCUGCCGUUCGGCCCUUCGGACCACAUAGCAUCUAAGGCACUGACAUAACAUCCUUAGCUACAGGGCCCAGAGAGCAAUUAUUUCCAAGCUUCUAUUCUACUUGACAAAAGUAAAUACCUUUCUAAAAGUAUCCAAGAUUCUUCCUUCCUUAGAGUUAUAAACAAAUUCACAGAAAAGUACCAAAUAUCAUAAUUGCCUUUCUAUCCUAGGAGAAACAUGCCUUUGAAAUUACACAUAAUUACUCAUGCAUGCGAGGGUAGAUUAUACCUUUAGCUGUAACAUUUGUGCAGAAUCAGCACCCGCAGUUGCAUUGAUUGAAACGCUUAACAUUCCAGAUUUUGUCUUGUUCAACGACCAUGAAGCAAUGCCAGUAGCUAUUGCCUCUGUACCUGCCGCACUGCUGUUUAAAGGUGCUCCUGCCUUAACGAUAGCAACAGCUUCUACUCGAGUUCCACUGUAUCAACAUGAUUAAGGGAAUGAAUGAAAAAUCAGACUCGAAAUUACCCAACCAAAACAAAAUCGAUUUCUCACACCCACCUGCGGUUUUCAACACUCAGAGUAAAACCGCGGCAAUAGUUUACGGCGUUGCAACCCCUUUUCCGGGACAUUAACUGGUGGAGGGUGCGUUGACGUCGACGGAGGAGCAUUAUUAUUCCCCCUAAUGAUGCCAUACUCUAAUGUUGGUGGUUUGUCAGCCGCUUUCACUGAUGGGCAUAGUAGCAGAAAAGUCAAAGCAAAAGCCGUGGCUCCCAUGAGUUCAAAACUGCCAACUUUCUUCAUGCUUUUGGGAAAAACAGCUAGUCCAGUCUGCAAAAAAAAAAAGAGGGAAGAAUUUUAAAGAAAAAAAAAUGGAAUUCUGGUUGGGGAUAGGAUAUCAGAUAGAGAGGUAUGGAAAAGGAAGAGUUAUUGGAGGUAGGAAAAGAAAAGCAGAAGCAGAAAAGGGGAUCAGUGUGGUAAGAUAGAGGGCGAUGUUCCUGUGGAUUUGAAGGAAGAUGAGUUCGUACAUGUGGGAACCGAAAGUUUGGUGGAAAUUUUUGAGACAGGUGACGAUGGUGCUAGCCCAAAAGAGCCACCCAUCAGCCAUGGUUGCCCUUUCAUGAAACUGUCAAGAAAAGCAGAAGCAGAAAAGGGGACUAGUGCGGUAAAACAGAUGACGAUGUUCCUGUCGAUUUGACGGAAAAUGAGUUCGGAAAUGAUUAGGGAAUCGAAAGUUUGGGGGAAAUUUUUGAGAUAGAUGAUGAUGGCUGGCCCAAAAGAGCCACCCAUCCGCCAUGAUCGCCCCUUCAUGGAACUGUCAAGAAAAGCAGAAGCAGAAAGGGGACGGUAAAAUAGAGGGCGCAGAGAGGCAGUUGUUUGAUAUUCCUGUCGAUUUGAAGGAAGAUGAGUUCUGAGUUUGAGCCUUUGCUACAGCAAUAAGAAAGGAAAUUUAAAAAAUCAAAGAAAUUCGAAUAAAAAAUCCUUCAUCAUCUUUGUCAUCUUGCCAAGCUCUAAAAUAAAAGAGAAUCAUCCAAUAAAAAUAAAAACUAAGACAAAAAUGUCAUUGCCAAAUCCAAAAUUUUGAUUAAAAAAAAAUCUACAUCACUAUUAUUUAAAAAUUUGACAAUUUCAUUACAAAUUUGGUACACAGUUGCAAGCAAAAGGAGAGAAAAAAACAACAUUAAAGUCACAUGUUUUAACAAAACUCAUGUUACAAACAGAGUUAUCAAGAUCGACUCAAUAAAAAAAAAUACUAAAUAAAAAAAGGUUAUAUUACCAUUUUUUUUUCUAUUCUUCUUCUCCGAUUAACAAGACAAUGAGAUUGGAUCUCUCAAGUUCUUCCUUCUUCUUCGAUUAACGAGGCAAUGGAAUUAGGUCUCUAAAGUGCUAAUGUGUGACAAGAGAAAGAGACCCUUUCCAAUGUUCAGAAGAUCUUUUUCACUAGAUAAUAUUUAUAAAUUAAUCAGAUUUUGAUCAAAACGUUGAUUAAUUUGAUUUAAUCUGCUUUCUAUUAUUUUUCAAGUUGCAUUUUGAAACGUAGACGUCAUUUUUUACCAAAAUUAGCCGACUCUCAUGUUAAACAUAGACGCCUUUUUUUACCCAAAUUAGCCUACUCUCAUGUAUCUCCUUCUAUGUUUUAUUGAAUUCUAAGAUAAUAUGUUGUUUGCUUGACACUCAAGCCAAACGUAAAACCGAAGAUACGGUCACGUUCACACUAGCGGUCGGUGAUUUGUACACACCAUUAGCAUGUGAUUUGUAUUCAUUUGAUCUAUUUAAAUAUAUUUAAAUAUAUAAAUAAAUAUUAUUUAAUUUUCAUGUUUAAUGUACACAUAAAAUACAUAUAAUAAUUAAGUUACAAUAAUAAUUAGGUUAAACUAAUUUAAGUAAAUUUUCUUUUUUUUAAGUUUAUAAUCUAUCUUUAAAUUUUUAUUAUAUACCUUAUUAAAAAAAAAUUACAUAUUUAAAUUUUUUCAAACUUACAAUAUUAAAAUAUUAAUUUUAAUGAUAUACAAACUAAUCUAAGAGAUGGUCAAUAAUUUCGAGUUAAUUUAUUAAAGGUAAAAUAAUCAUGGAAAAAUGUAAAUAUGAAUUAAUAAGAACAAUUAUUAAAUAUAAAAUAUAAUAGUAUAAUAGUAAUAAUUACAUACUCUCUCUUUUCCUUUUCCAUGACUAAUUUUCAUUUAAUAUAGAGAUAACAAAAAUAUGUUAAAUGAAAUUUUCAAAAAAAUCUCAUUUGUCCAAAAAGAAUAAAAAAAUAUUAUAAUUCUUGCUAAUUCUGAUUCACUUAGAAUAAGAAUAUCAAUUAAGUUCAUGAUCAACACAGAGUAAAAAUAUAUAAAUACGACAUUUAAUUUGGUUUGUAGAAAUAAUAAAAAAGAUGAUGUCCAAUUUUAACCUACCGUAUAUUAAAAAUGGGAUUUGAUCAUUAUAGAUUUAUACAUUUAUCUUUCUUUUUUUUUUCUGUUCCAAGGGAUGUAGUUCUUACAAAGAGGAAAAGGAAGAAUAUCCAAAUUCGAAAUCAAAAUCUUUAUAUUUUUAUAAAACUUCUUUAAUCACUAAAUUAAAAGGUCAAAAUUUUUGUAUAUUUAUCUUUAAAAGUAUUGGUUUGACGCAAAGAUACAAAUAAAAAACAAAUCAAAAAAUAUAUAGAAAAUUAUAGUUAUUUAAGAUUUUUCAUUAAAAAAAAGAUAUUGUUAAUAAAUCAUAAUUGAUAAGAUAAAAUAAAUUUAUUUAAUUUUAAAUCAAUAAAUAUGUGUGAUUUGUUAAUAAAUCAUUAGUGAUAAGAUAAAAAGUUAUACCUCUAUCAUAACAUGUUUAUAUAAGAAAAAAAAAUGUUAUACCUCUGUCAUAACAUGUUCAUAUAAAAAAAAAAAAAGUUAUACCUAAGAAUAAUUAAAGAUAAAAAAAUUACUUCGAUAAAUUUUCGUAAAAAAACAUAUUUUACCUCAUUACUUGAAUCAUAACUAUAGUUGUUUUUUUUUUCAACCUAAAACACAUCCAUAAAAAGAAAGACAUUACCAAGAAAAUUAUUAAUUGUUAAUUUUAUUUUUAUUUUUAAUUUAAUUCUAUGUAUUGCAAUUUACGAAUAAUUAAAAUCAUAUUAUUAUUUGUCUAUUUAUCAUAUCUAAAAUUAUUAUUUACACACAUUUAAGGUAAUGUUUGAUAUGAAAUAAUCACUCCAAUAUCAUUAUAAUUUACAUAUGAUAAUUAUAUCAUGUGUUUGAUAAGUACUUAAUGAUUAUACGUGACAUUGACCUUGGAUGAUUAAAAGUAAUUAGGUCACUUCUUUGGAGAGUGAUUUAAUUCUUAUAUAAAAGAGUGAAAAACUUUUAUUAUUGAGUUGAAGUAAUAUGUAAAAUUAAUAAUAAUCAAUAUUACUCAUGUAAUAUGUGAAUCAAAACUUGUUUUCUCAUAAAAUUAUAGUUAUUUUACGUUAUAAAUUUUUAUAUUUUUAAACAAAUAUUCAUGAUAACAUGUUCAAAAAUAAUUUGUGUAUUUUUUAUUUUUUUAAUGUUUUAUAUAAUAUAGUUUUUGUUUUUUCUUUUAGUAUGAUUUUAAUAGAAUAUUUUUUUCUAAUACAAAUUUUUUUUUACAUAAUUUAAAUUAUAAAUUUAAUUUACCUAAUAAAUAAAUAUAACUAUUAAUUUAAUAAUUUUAUUAUAUAUUUAUUAUAUAAAAUAAAUAAAAUAUUACUAUAUUUUAUAAAUUAUUAUCAUUAAACAACAUUAAAUUUAUUAACUUAUGAAUUAUUACAAUAUGCAUGAUUAUUUUAGUAUUUUUAAAUAAAAUAAUAUUUAAUUUUUAAUAAUAUCAAAUAUAAUAAUCUUUAAUUUUUAUAAAUUAAUGAUUGUUAAUCAAAUAAAAUAAUUUCAAAUCAUGAGUAAUAAAAUCAUUUUGAUAAUAAAAUUACCUUGAUGGCUACAUUAUUAUAGUAAUCUUAAAAAUAAUAUAAAACAUUAUCUAAAAAUUAUAGACCUAUCAUAAAUAUUAAGUCAAACUCAUAUUAUUUUUAAAUAUAUAAUUAACUUUUUUAACUUUCUCAGCAAUAUUUCAAAAUUUGCAACCAAGCAUAAAAUAUAUAUAUAUAUAUUUCAGUUUACUACAUUUAUUUUUUUAUAUUUUGUGAUUAUUUUAAAUUUUUUAUUUGAUAAAAUUUCAAAUAAAUUAUAUUAAUUACUCAAAUUUUAUAUUUUAUAUUUAUAUUUGAUUCAUACAUCAAAAUAUAUUGAAAAGAUCCGCAUAUUCACCUUUCUUCUAGGCUAAGCUUAAAAAAAAAAAAAAAGUAAAAACGUUGAAAAAUUUUGUGAAAAUGAUUUCUGUAUGGCUGAUAAGACCGCGUUCUUCUCAAAUGCACGUUAUGGCUUAUUAAUGGCCAAGAUUUGCGUAUAGUCUUACCUUUAUUAAUUUGGCCACCAAAGAAUGAUUUUUGACUUCUUUCCCGGUCAGCGCCGUUCUUCCUAGGAUAUCCAGCCCCCCACAGCCCCCCACACCGCCCCGGGCCCGCGAAUAUCACUUUUGGAGCCAGCUGUCCAGGGAUGGAUACGGUUAAUUCAAAAGCCAGCUGUUCAAGCACUAUUUAUUUUUUUUUUGAUAAAAUAAUUAGGUUUAUAGUUUAAUUCAUGAUUUAUAUAUAUUAUUAUAAAUGAAUUAAGAUUGAAGAAUUUUAUUUUUUAGUUAUAAAAUUAAUUUAUUUAAUUAAAAGUUCACCAAGAGAUAUGAAAUUCAACUUCAUGAUUAAGCUUCUAAAACGCCCCUGCCACGGCAUAUAUUAAUUCUUUACAAACAUCAAAAAGACAAUUAAAAAACUCAUCAAAGAUGCAAGUACGUUGGAUGUCUGGAAUUAGAAGUAUAUAAUUUAAACUGAUGGGAAUUAGCUUCAAAUAUUUGCAGUAGUGACUGUAUUUAUUGUGUGUGUAAUGUUAAUGCUACAAAUCAGUUGUCUGUAGGGCAGGUGACACUUCUUCAAAACUCUCGCAAAAAUUUUUUUUUUUUUUAAAUUUGAUAACAUUAAAAUUUAAAUUUUAAUCAUUAAAAUUAAAAAUUCAACAUUUUAUUAAUAGUGUCUUUAUUGGCUAAGCUCCAGCAGCUUGUUGACCAGCUUUUACUCAACUGCUCACAAGUGCAUUUGAGCUAUUUGAUCCGUUUUUGUUUUCAACCUGGGAUGAUAUGGGCCAGCUGGGCUUAAACCGGGGAACACAGACUAUAUUCAUGAGCAUGUGUAUCGGUAGGGGUUCCAAAUAAGUGCCACAAAUGAUUAACAAAAGUUUCAAAAUCGACACUUUUAGCCUUCACCGAUUAGAUUCGGCAGAUUUUUUGGGACAUGCGUAUCUUUCUCACUGGUUAGUACGACAAUUAACUAGUACACAUUACAGCAAUAGAAUGAGUUGGUUCACUUGAGGUUCCAGUUGCUGGUUGUAUAGGAUUCAGAUUAUCAACUUCUGAAAAAAUCUGAUAGUGUUUUUGGAUGUCUUUGAUCUAAGAAAAGGGGUAAGGUGAAAGGAGAAGACAACUGUGACCUCAGAAAACAUAAUUAACGGGUUCGGUGUUGUUAAUUCAGUACGUGCUCUGACGUUUAAGUUAAUAUUAUGCUUGAGAUAAGGUUAAGAUAAAAAAGAAGAUCAUGAUGGUAAAGUGUGUGAGACGAGUUUUAAUGAAAAAAAAGUUCAAAAGAUGAGAGAUCUAAUCUUUAUUAUUUUGAGUAUCUAAUUCUUUAUUUAUCUCUUAUUUAAUAUCAAAGGUAAUAGUUUGAUUGAAAUAAUUGACGGUUGACAUUUGAUAAGAUAUCUAUAUAAAAUUCGAUAAGAAUUUACAUAAAUGUAUGAAAAUUACAUUUAUUGAUCUUAAAUAGGCAUGAGCUAUAUUAAUAAUCUUAAAUAUGUUAAGUGCUAAUGGGUCAAUUUUAAUGUAAUUAUCUUGAUAAGUUAUUGAUGUGAUUUUGAUCGAUUCAUCUUUUUAGAGUAGGUAAGUGAUUAUUUACAUGUAUGUUGAUUAAGUUUUGACCAUUAAUUAAUUAAUUUAAGCAUAACAAAUAAUAUUUUAUUUCAAGUUUAAUUUAAAUUAGAUCGAUUUUAGCUAUAAAAAACUAAUUUAAUAUUAAUCAAGCUAAAUUUAAAAUUUAACUUAAUUGAUUUAAAUAAUUAUCAUUAGAAGAUCAUUUUUUUAAAAAAAUAAUAUCUCAUAAAUUUAUGGAAUUAAAAUCUCUAACAUAUGUAAUCUUUUUAUAAAAAAUUAAAAAAAAAAAAAAAGUCAUGCCAUGUUUCAGAAUGUCAUUAUGCAAGUCAGCUUUGCCACCCGCCUUCCAGAAUCUUUCUAACCCGCAAGUGUUAUGGAGUGCAAAGGUAUGAUAAUUUACUUGAAAAUUUGUAUAUUAUACGAAAGUAUCAUAUACCAUAUGUGUCAACUUAUUAAGAAUUGCAUCUUUACUUAAUAUGAAAUUUUUAUUCAUUUAAUUUAAUAAUUAUUUUAUUAUUAUAUUUUUUAAAUAAUUUAUUAGUAUAUUUUAUUACACAUAAUUAUUAAAUAUUCAAGUAAGAUAUAAUAAAUAUAUUUUUAAAGCAAACUAUAAAAGGUUGAUUCUGUUGUUAAUCCUUUUAAAACUAUCAUCUAAAAUCUAUUCAAAUCUAUCACAUAUAAUAAAUUUAUUAUAAUUUUACGUUAUAAAUAUUCAAAUAUAACAUAAACAAAUUAAAUAAUAAUGCAUAUCGCUUACUUCACAUCCUAUGUUCUACCCUUUAUUGACUUCACCACCAAAGGGCGCUUAUCCACUUGUUCAACGUUCAACGUUGAUGGUUACUUCCAGAAUUGAUUUCGCUACCAAAGAGUGUUUUUUUUCCCGGGCCUGGUCCAAUAUCAUCUUUUGAAGGAACAUAUCACUUUAUAAUAAUCGUGAUAAAAUUAAUUAAUUAUGAUUUAAAAUUAUAUUAAAAUCAUCAAAUAUGAAAUUCACAUUUACAAGAAUUCUUAUAUAAUUUUUAUUAUAAUUAGAAUUAUAAUAUUAUAAUAAAAAAUUGUUAUAACAUAAUUUAUUGACAGAGAUAUGUGACACAAAGAUUCUAAUUAUAACCUAUUUUGAUUUUUUUAUUUAAUUUUUUAUACAAUCAACUUCAGAAUAUGAGAUAUAAAGCUUAAUGUGUUAUUGAUAUAAUAAAAAAAUUGUACAUAAAACUCAGGUAAUCGCAAGUUUUUCAGAGUGUAAGGCACGAUAAUAGAUGUUGCUGUUAAGAUUGGAAACGUGUGCAGACUCAUCUCUAUUAUUUGGAACCUCGAAAAUUGUGUAUUCUUGCACAAGUCCUUGACUGAUUUUCUAGUCACUUUCCGAAAAGAAAUGUAAAAAGACUUACUCAAACCUCAAAACUACCAUUAUUACAUUAGCAGGUCAGCUCAUUGCAAAACAGGAGGCAUCCACUGCAACACAAACUCUUAAGAGCUGAAAGAGGUAGCCACUCAGUUUACUAGGGUUGGACAAAUUUGUCUAAUGCAGAAGUGUCCAAAGCUUG